RNAcentral lists this ribosomal RNA (497 nucleotides) under uncultured bacterium. Its description in RNAcentral is "partial 16S ribosomal RNA". It matches the Rfam family "Bacterial small subunit ribosomal RNA", at positions 28 to 507 of the family's 1533-position model. The record is from RNAcentral.
GAUGAACGCUGGCGGCGUGCCUAAUACAUGCAAGUCGAGCGAACGGACGAGAAGCUUGCUUCUCUGAUGUUAGCGGCGGACGGGUGAGUAACACGUGGAUAACCUACCUAUAAGACUGGGAUAACUUCGGGAAACCGGAGCUAAUACCGGAUGAUAUUUUGAACCGCAUGGUUCAAAAGUGAAAGACGGUCUUGCUGUCACUUAUAGAUGGAUCCGCGCUGCAUUAGCUAGUUGGUAAGGUAACGGCUUACCAAGGCAACGAUGCAUAGCCGACCUGAGAGGGUGAUAGGCCACACUGGAACUGAGACACGGUCCAGACUCCUACGGGAGGCAGCAGUAGGGAAUGUUCGGCAAUGGGCGAAAGCCUGACGGAGCAACGCCGCGUGAGUGAUGAAGGUCUUCGGAUCGUAAAACUCUGUUAUUAGGGAAGAACAUAUGUGUAAGUAACUGUGCACAGCUUGACGGUACCUAAUCAGAAAGCCACGGCUAACUACGUG